This 460-nucleotide ribosomal RNA is filed under the name uncultured bacterium. RNAcentral describes it as "partial 16S ribosomal RNA". It matches the Rfam family "Bacterial small subunit ribosomal RNA", at positions 338 to 795 of the family's 1533-position model. The record is from RNAcentral.
CCUACGGGUGGCAGCAGUGAGGAAUAUUGGUCAAUGGGCGGAAGCCUGAACCAGCCAAGUAGCGUGCAGGAUGACGGCCCUACGGGUUGUAAACUGCUUUUAUACGGGAAUAACGCGCCUUACGUGUAGGGCUUUGCAUGUACCGUAUGAAUCAGGACCGGCUAAUUCCGUGCCAGCAGCCGCGGUAAUACGGAAGGUCCGGGCGUUAUCCGGGUUUUUGGGGUUUAACGGGAGCGUAGGCCGCAUGUCAAGCUUGCUGUGAAAUGUCCGGGCUCAACCCGGGCCUUGCAGCGCGAACGGGCGUGCUUGAGUCCGCGGAAAGCAGGCGGAAUUCGUCGUGUAGCGGUGAAAUGCUUAGAUAUGACGAAGAACCACGAUUGCGAAGGCAGCUUGCUGCAGCGGAACUGACGCUGAUGCUCGAAAGCGCGGGUAUCGAACAGGAUUAGAUACCCCUGUAGUC